RNAcentral lists this ribosomal RNA (886 nucleotides) under uncultured bacterium. Its description in RNAcentral is "bacterial SSU rRNA". It matches the Rfam family "Bacterial small subunit ribosomal RNA", at positions 8 to 853 of the family's 1533-position model. The record is from RNAcentral.
AGAGUUUGAUCAUGGCUCAGGACGAACGCUGGCGGCGUGCCUAAUACAUGCAAGUCGAGCGGGCUUGCCUAGAUGAUUUUAGUGCUUGCACUAAAUGAAACUAGAUACAAGCGAGCGGCGGACGGGUGAGUAACACGUGGGUAACCUACCCAAGAGACUGGGAUAACACCUGGAAACAGAUGCUAAUACCGGAUAACAACACUAGACGCAUGUCUAGAGUUUGAAAGAUGGUUCUGCUAUCACUCUUGGAUGGACCUGCGGUGCAUUAGCUAGUUGGUAAGGUAACGGCUUACCAAGGCAAUGAUGCAUAGCCGAGUUGAGAGACUGAUCGGCCACAUUGGGACUGAGACACGGCCCAAACUCCUACGGGAGGCAGCAGUAGGGAAUCUUCCACAAUGGACGAAAGUCUGAUGGAGCAACGCCGCGUGAGUGAAGAAGGGUUUCGGCUCGUAAAGCUCUGUUGGUAGUGAAGAAAGAUAGAGGUAGUAACUGGCCUUUAUUUGACGGUAAUUACUUAGAAAGUCCCGGCUAACUACGUGCCAGCAGCCGCGGUAAUACGUAGGUGGCAAGCGUUGUCCGGAUUUAUUGGGCGUAAAGCGAGUGCAGGCGGUUCAAUAAGUCUGAUGUGAAAGCCUUCGGCUCAACCGGAGAAUUGCAUCAGAAACUGUUGAACUUGAGUGCAGAAGAGGAGAGUGGAACUCCAUGUGUAGCGGUGGAAUGCGUAGAUAUAUGGAAGAACACCAGUGGCGAAGGCGGCUCUCUGGUCUGCAACUGACGCUGAGGCUCGAAAGCAUGGGUAGCGAACAGGAUUAGAUACCCUGGUAGUCCAUGCCGUAAACGAUGAGUGCUGAGUGUUGGGAGGUUUCCGCCUCUCAGUGCUGCAGCU